RNAcentral lists this long non-coding RNA (882 nucleotides) under Marmota monax (woodchuck). Lineage: Eukaryota; Metazoa; Chordata; Mammalia; Rodentia; Sciuridae. The record is from RNAcentral.
CUGACACUUGUGAAAGCCUGGCCCCGGCUCCUGGCCGUUGGCUGUCCUGCAUUCCUGGGCCUGGGGAGGACAGGCAGCUCACCUUGUCAUUUGAGAGUAAUGACAGGGCUGGUGUCGGCUGCCACACAGGGCCCUUGCUCCCACAGAAGGUCCUGGCCCACCUCCACCGGGCAGGGAAACAGCACAGAGAAACCAAGUCUCUCACCCAAGAAGACCAGCCAGAGCUGAUGCAGGCAGCCUGGCCCCGCCCGGCCACCAGACCUGAAUGGCAUGCAGCUUCCUCACCACUUCCAGCCACCCGCCUCGGCCUCCACGUCCGUGAGUGGGCUUGCAGGAGCAGCAGAGGACCUUGGGGUCUUUCCAACCCUGUCCUCUCAAUUCCCGCUGCCCUCCUUCCUGAGACGUUAGUGCACAGGGCAGCCCCUGGGAGGCCUCACCCAGCCCUAACCAGGGCCUGAGUCCGGGACCCAAUCCCUCUGGCCCAGGGCCCCUCCCUGGAGGUCACCAGGACCCAGCAUGGCACCAAGCACGCCGGGAUUUAAGUGGGUCAGUUGGGGAAGAAAGGAGGAGGAAUGCAAUGCCAUUAAUUGUGCCCCUUAUCUCCUGUUUCUAUGCCAACCAGACGUUCCCGGGGCUUGACGGGCCCGUGAAUAAUACUCCCGGCUGGCCUAUCUGCCAUCGACAGCCCUUCUCCUAGAGGCAGCUGUUGCCUCCCGAUUGGUAUCGCCAACCUGUGGACCUGGGCCUGGGCCUGCCUAGAGGCCAUCCUGGAGAACUCGGGCCCUGGGUGGACUGCUGCCUGCCCUCCAUAGCCCUGGUCUCCUGGAGGUUUCGAGGCUCCUGUCCCCAUUUCACAGAAAGGGAGACUGAGGCUACAGCUUC